AGAGUUUGAUCCUGGCUCAGGAUGAACGCUAGCUACAGGCUUAACACAUGCAAGUCGAGGGGCAUCAGGAAGAAAGCUUGCUUUCUUUGCUGGCGACCGGCGCACGGGUGAGUAACACGUAUCCAACCUGCCCUUUACUCGGGGAUAGCCUUUCGAAAGAAAGAUUAAUACCCGAUAGCAUAAUGAUUCCGCAUGGUUUCAUUAUUAAAGGAUUCCGGUAAAGGAUGGGGAUGCGUUCCAUUAGGUUGUUGGUGAGGUAACGGCUCACCAAGCCUUCGAUGGAUAGGGGUUCUGAGAGGAAGGUCCCCCACAUUGGAACUGAGACACGGUCCAAACUCCUACGGGAGGCAGCAGUGAGGAAUAUUGGUCAAUGGGCGGUAGCCUGAACCAGCCAAGUAGCGUGAAGGAUGAAGGCUCUAUGGGUCGUAAACUUCUUUUAUAUAAGAAUAAAGUGCAGUAUGUAUACUGUUUUGUAUGUAUUAUAUGAAUAAGGAUCGGCUAACUCCGUGCCAGCAGCCGCGGUAAUACGGAGGAUCCGAGCGUUAUCCGGAUUUAUUGGGUUUAAAGGGAGCGUAGGUGGACUGGUAAGUCAGUUGUGAAAGUUUGCGGCUCAACCGUAAAAUUGCAGUUGAUACUGUCAGUCUUGAGUACAGUAGAGGUGGGCGGAAUUCGUGGUGUAGCGGUGAAAUGCUUAGAUAUCACGAAGAACUCCGAUUGCGAAGGCAGCUCACUGGACUGCAACUGACACUGAUGCUCGAAAGUGUGGGUAUCAAACAGGAUUAGAUACCCUGGUAGUCCACACAGUAAACGAUGAAUACUCGCUGUUUGCGAUAUACAGUAAGCGGCCAAGCGAAAGCAUUAAGUAUUCCACCUGGGGAGUACGCCGGCAACGGUGAAACUCAAAGGAAUUGACGGGGGCCCGCACAAGCGGAGGAACAUGUGGUUUAAUUCGAUGAUACGCGAGGAACCUUACCCGGGCUUAAAUUGCAGUGGAAUGAUGUGGAAACAUGUCAGUGAGCAAUCACCGCUGUGAAGGUGCUGCAUGGUUGUCGUCAGCUCGUGCCGUGAGGUGUCGGCUUAAGUGCCAUAACGAGCGCAACCCUUAUCUUCAGUUACUAACAGGUCAUGCUGAGGACUCUGGAGAGACUGCCGUCGUAAGAUGUGAGGAAGGUGGGGAUGACGUCAAAUCAGCACGGCCCUUACGUCCGGGGCUACACACGUGUUACAAUGGGGGGUACAGAAGGCAGCUAGCGGGUGACCGUAUGCUAAUCCCAAAAUCCUCUCUCAGUUCGGAUCGAAGUCUGCAACCCGACUUCGUGAAGCUGGAUUCGCUAGUAAUCGCGCAUCAGCCACGGCGCGGUGAAUACGUUCCCGGGCCUUGUACACACCGCCCGUCAAGCCAUGGGAGCCGGGGGUACCUGAAGUACGUAACCGCAAGGAUCGUCCUAGGGUAAAACUGGUGACUGGGGCUAAGUCGUAACAAGGUAGCCGUACCGGAAGGUGCGGCUG
This 1509-nucleotide ribosomal RNA is filed under the name Bacteroides fragilis. Its description in RNAcentral is "bacterial SSU rRNA". It matches the Rfam family "Bacterial small subunit ribosomal RNA". RNAcentral also lists the same sequence under 1 other name. The record is from RNAcentral. Lineage: Bacteria; Pseudomonadati; Bacteroidota; Bacteroidia; Bacteroidales; Bacteroidaceae.